UAUUCUGCCCCACGGGGAAGGAUGAGAAGCUUCGACUAAGGUUCGACUCGAGCGAAGCGAGAGAACGUUGCCGC
This 74-nucleotide small RNA is filed under the name Klebsiella pneumoniae. RNAcentral describes it as "partial RtT sRNA". It matches the Rfam family "RtT RNA", at positions 1 to 74 of the family's 130-position model. Rfam says of the family: This family represents a bacterial cis-regulatory element known as RtT RNA. Lineage: Bacteria; Pseudomonadati; Pseudomonadota; Gammaproteobacteria; Enterobacterales; Enterobacteriaceae. The record is from RNAcentral.